GACGAACGCUGGCGGCGUGCUUAACACAUGCAAGUCGAGCGGUAAGGCCCUUUCGGGGGUACACGAGCGGCGAACGGGUGAGUAACACGUGGGUGACCUGCCCUUAGCUCUGGGAUAAGCCUGGGAAACUGGGUCUAAUACCGGAUAUGACUCCAUGACGCAUGUUGUGGGGUGGAAAGCCUUGUGCGGCUAGGGGAUGGGCCCGCGGCCUAUCAGCUUGUUGGUGGGGUGAUGGCCUACCAAGGCGACGACGGGUAGCCGGCCUGAGAGGGCGACCGGCCACACUGGGACUGAGACACGGCCCAGACUCCUACGGGAGGCAGCAGUGGGGAAUCUUGCGCAAUGGGCGAAAGCCUGACGCAGCGACGCCGCGU
RNAcentral lists this ribosomal RNA (374 nucleotides) under uncultured bacterium. Its description in RNAcentral is "bacterial SSU rRNA". It matches the Rfam family "Bacterial small subunit ribosomal RNA", at positions 28 to 402 of the family's 1533-position model. The record is from RNAcentral.